GAUGAACGCUGGCGGCGUGCCUAAUACAUGCAAGUCGAGCGAACAGACGAGGAGCUGGCUCCUCUUACUUUAGCCGCGGACGGGUGAGUAACACGUGGAUAACCUACCUAUAAGACUGGGAUAACUGCGAGAAACCGGAGCUAAUACCGUAUAAUAUUUUGAACCGCAUUGUUCAAUAGUGAAAGACGUUUUUGCUUUCACUUAUAGAUGGAUCCGCGCCGCAUUAGCUAGUUGGUAAGGUAACGGCUUACCAAGGCAACGAUGCGUAGCCGACCUGAGAGGGGGAUAGGCCCAAAUGGAAAUGAGAAAAGGUCCAGAACACUAAGGGAGGCCGCAGUAGGGAAUCUUCCGCAAUGGGCGGAAGCCUGACGGAGCAAAGGCGCGGGAGUGAUGAAGGUCUUCGGAUCGUAAAACUCUGUUAUUAGGGAAGAACAAAUGUGUAAGUAACUAUGCACGUCUUGACGGUACCUAAUCAGAAAGCCACGGCUAACUACGUG
Molecule: ribosomal RNA, 497 nt
Filed under: uncultured bacterium
Lineage: Bacteria
Description: partial 16S ribosomal RNA
Rfam family: Bacterial small subunit ribosomal RNA
Source: RNAcentral